UCCUUUCCUGUGGCUGACCCCAUGUGCUGCUGUCCCCGCUGCCUGUCCUGGGGUGUCUUUAAUAAUCCACAUGCCCCUCACGGCUGUUCUUCUGCCAGAGGUAGCCAAGAUACUCCCCAAGACCUUCAGCUGGGACUUCAGAGAUCCCUGGCGAAGAGCUGGGCUGCCACUGCUGGAGGAGCCCUCUGGCUCUCCCCUCCCCAGCUACUGCGGCUAUUUCCGCCUGACGCAGGUGGGACCCCCCUGCCGUGGGCAAGGCUGGAGCCGCCGGCUGCACCGGGACAAGCAGGUGUGUGUGGAAUGCUGGGGGGACAUGUCCCACCACCGUGCCCAUUGCACUGGACAUGGGCUGCAAGGAGCCAGGACAUUUUGGGUGGCUGCCUCUGUGGUGGGGUGCCAGGGCUCAUGGGUACAGGAGGGGCUGCAGGAGGGUUGUGUCUGCUCCCCACCCGCUCUCAUCUUCGUGUAGGAUCUCCCUGGGAAGGUUUGCUGCUCACCCUUGUAUCCGACUCCCUGUGUUUACCAUUAAAUACUUUGUUGAAGAAUGGGAAGAAAAUCCUUCUUAUAAAGAUUAAAAAUAAGGGAAAUGCUGAAGUGUGGUGAUUAAUGGUAGAAGAACAUCACAAAGAGGUUAAAUCUGAGUGAGAAGAUGAUUGCAGCAGUGACAUGAUGUCAUGCUCAGCCAUGACAUCAUGCCAUGCAAUCAGCUGCCAUUGGCAAGCAAUAUGAGGAUGGAGCAUCUGAGAUCACUCCCUGGAGUGAAUGUUGGGUGAGCUGGGCAGAGUGACUCAGCUUUGUGCUGUGGUUUGCAGACAGGAAUUAAACAGAGACACCCAAAACCUGCACAUUGGGUGAUGGUGCCAGAGGGUGUCCAGUUCCAGCUGUGGGGCUCAGCAGCUCCCACUGGAGGGAGUGAGGCUGAACUGGGUGGUGCUGGUGCCCUUCCUCACUCAGCUUGACCUCAUUGGUGGGGUCCCUGGUCCAGCCUUGGCCUGUAGUUCCACAGCCUGUGGUGGGAGGAUGUGCUGUGCCAGGGCUGGCUCUUGCCAGGCUGGCCAAGGGAGGAGGGAGCCCAAGGUGGGGACAGCCCAGAUCUGGAGGUGGGAAGGAGAGGGCAGCCCAUGGAAUAGCUGCCCCAGCCUCAUCCAAUGGGACUCUGGCUGCAGGGUGGCAACCAGCACCCAUCCCCAGGAGGAACAGAUUGUCUCUGUCCCCACAGUGGGGACUGUGGCCCUGGGCAGUCCCAGUGCCUGCAGAGGACUGUCAGUUGCCCAGCUCUCUGUGGAAUGUAAUGAGGAGGGUUCAGCCAGGCAUUGGGUUGUCACCUACCCAUCAGCUACCUAUGGCCAUGAGCCAGGGUGGCCCGUAGGGCUGGGGGCUUGAGCAGGGGGCUUAGGAUUUGAGGUUCCCUUGCUGCAGCCUAUGGCUGUUGCCUGUUUGCUGCCCCAGGAUGUGUUUGGCUCCUGCUGCCUGUUACAGCUCCCUCUCACCCCAUCCUCCUGGGCAGGGAAAUUAAAAGGCUUCAACACUGGGAACGUUCUUGGCCUCUUUAUUUGGGAUGAAAUCCCAGGUCAGCCAUGGACAAAAACACUGGUUAAAAAAA
This 1603-nucleotide long non-coding RNA is filed under the name Lepidothrix coronata (blue-crowned manakin). RNAcentral's name for it is "lncRNA (ENSLCOG00000012650.1)". The record is from RNAcentral. Lineage: Eukaryota; Metazoa; Chordata; Aves; Passeriformes; Pipridae.